Molecule: RNA transcript, 2006 nt
Organism: Lipotes vexillifer (Yangtze River dolphin)
Lineage: Eukaryota; Metazoa; Chordata; Mammalia; Artiodactyla; Lipotidae
Gene: PDLIM5
Gene name: PDZ and LIM domain 5
Exons: 13
Source: RefSeq, a predicted model, not a curated record
GCGAGUCACUUGUCAGCGCUCGUCUGAGCCGGAGGUAUCGCCGCGCCGGACCCGAGUUUCUUUCAUUUUUGGGCAUUGGACUUUGAGCCAUUAGAACCAUGAGCAACUACAGUGUGUCCUUGGUUGGCCCAGCUCCUUGGGGUUUCCGGCUACAAGGUGGCAAGGAUUUCAACAUGCCUCUGACAAUCUCUAGCCUAAAAGAUGGUGGCAAAGCAUCCCAGGCAAACGUAAGAAUAGGUGAUGUGGUUCUCAGCAUUGAUGGAAUAAGUGCACAUGGCAUGACUCAUCUUGAAGCCCAGAACAAGAUUAAGGGUUGUACAGGCUCUUUGAAUAUGACUCUGCAAAGAGCAUCUGCUACACCCAAGCCUGAGCCGGUUCCUGUUCAAAAGGGAGAACCUAAAGAAGUAGUUAAACCUGUGCCCAUUCCAUCUCCUGCUGUGUCCAAAGUCACUUCCACAACCAACACGGCCUACAAUAAGGCACCACGACCCUUUGGUUCUGUGUCUUCACCAAAAGUCACAUCCAUCCCAUCACCAUCGUCCGCCUUCACCCCAGCCCAUGCGACCACUUCAUCACAUGCUUCCCCUGCACCCGGGGCCGCUGUCACUCCUCCCCCAUUCGCUGCAUCUGGACCGCAUGCUAAUGCCAGUCUUAGUGCUGACCAGUGGUCAUCUGCACUGAGCGCUGGUAAACCUGCAGUUAAUGUCCCACGGCAGCCCACAGUCACCAGCAUGUGUGCCGAGACUGCCCAGGAGCUAGCGGAGGGACAGAGAAGAGGAUCCCAGGGUGACAGUAAACAGCAAAAUGGCCCACCAAGAAAACACAUUAUGGAUCGUUAUACAGAGUUUUAUCACAUACCUACUCACAGUGACGCCAGUAAGAAGAGACUGAUUGAAGAUACUGAAGACUGGCGUCCAAGGACUGGAACGACUCAGUCUCGCUCUUUCCGAAUCCUCGCCCAGAUCACUGGGACUGAACGUAUGAAAGAAUCUGAAACUGAUAAUACAAAGAAGGCAAAGUAACGCCCAGGAGGCCUCUCAGCCACUGGCCGCCGCAGCAGCUGCAGCUGGGAGCACACCUGAGGGGCCGGGAAGCCCAGGCUCGGCCAGACCAGGGGUGGCCGGACUUACCACUGCUGCCGCCUUCAAGCCUCUAGGGUCCACUGGCGGCAUCAAGUCACCAAGCUGGCAACGGCCCAACCAAGCAGCACCUUCUACUGGAAGAGUCGCAAGCAGUGGGACAUCCACAGGAGCAGUGGCAUCAGCCAACUCAGCCGAAAGGCAGCCCCAGCCCAGUGAUGAGGACACUUUGGUGCAAAGGGCCGAGCACAUUCCCGCAGGGAAACGAACUCCAAUGUGUGCCCACUGCAACCAGGUCAUCAGGGGACCAUUCCUAGUGGCACUGGGGAAAUCUUGGCACCCAGAAGAAUUUAACUGUGCUCACUGCAAAAAUACGAUGGCCUACAUUGGAUUCGUAGAGGAGCAGGGAGCCCUGUAUUGUGAGCUCUGCUAUGAGAGAUUCUUUGCCCCUGUAUGUGGUCGAUGCCAGAGGAAGAUCCUUGGAGAAGUCAUCAAUGCUUUGAAACAAACUUGGCAUGUUUCCUGUUUUGUGUGUGUGGCCUGUGGGAAACCCAUUCGUAAUAAUGUCUUUCACUUGGAGGACGGCGAGCCCUACUGUGAGACUGAUUAUUAUGCCCUCUUUGGCACUAUAUGCCAUGGAUGUGAGUUUCCCAUAGAAGCUGGUGACAUGUUCCUGGAAGCUCUGGCCUACACCUGGCAUGACACUUGCUUUGUAUGCUCAGUAUGUUGUGAAAGUUUGGAAGGUCAGACCUUUUUCUCCAAGAAGGACAAGCCACUUUGCAAGAAACAUGCUCACUCUGUGAAUAUUUGAAAGUCAACAGUCCAGGGGAAGAGAAGAAAUUUGAAGUGAAAGAGGAGAAUUUAAAUCACCAAUUAAUUUUUAGAUUUAAUAUUUAUAUGGAGUUUUGAAAAAUAAUAGUGGCCCUG